AGGGUGCAAGCGUUAUCCGGAUUUACUGGGUUUAAAGGGUACGUAGGCGGACUAUUAAGUCAGGGGUGAAAUCUCCGAGCUCAACUCGGAAACUGCCUUUGAAACUAGUGGUCUUGAAUUAUGUUGAGGUUGGCGGAAUAUAACAUGUAGCGGUGAAAUGCAUAGAUAUGUUAUAGAACACCGAUUGCGAAGGCAGCUGACUAAACAUAUAUUGACGCUGAUGUACGAAAGCGUGGGGAUCA
Molecule: ribosomal RNA, 242 nt
Filed under: uncultured bacterium
Lineage: Bacteria
Description: partial 16S ribosomal RNA
Rfam family: Bacterial small subunit ribosomal RNA
Source: RNAcentral